GACUCUGACGGUGCAGACGG
RNAcentral lists this small nuclear RNA (20 nucleotides) under Arabidopsis thaliana (thale cress). Its description in RNAcentral is "snRNA_06020". The record is from RNAcentral. Lineage: Eukaryota; Viridiplantae; Streptophyta; Magnoliopsida; Brassicales; Brassicaceae.